GACCACUUGAGGACUCAAGAGAAGCAUAUAAUGGCAUGGUCUAAGGGUCACAAAUGAAGAACAGAGGCUUGGGAGAUGUUGGGUUGAAGUUUAGCUAAGGUAGUACCUAGGGUCCCUUAAGGUAGUACCUCAAGGCCACUAAGGUAGUACCUAAAGGCCAUUAAGGUAGUACCUAAGCAACAGUAGCAAAAAACCAUUGGUGGACCACUCUAGGACUCAAGAGAAGCAUAUAAUGGCAUGGUCUAAGGGUCACAAAUGAAGACCCGAGGCUUGGAAGAGGUUGAGUUGAAGUUUAGCUAGGGUAGUACCUAGGGUCCUUUAAGGUAGUACCUGAAGGCCACUAAGGUAGUACCUAAAGGCCAUUAAGGUAGUACCUAAGCAACAGUAGCAAAAAACCAUUGGUGGACCACUUGAGGACUCAAGAGAAGCAUAUAAUGGCAUGGUCUAAGGGUGACAAAGGAAGACCCGAGGCUUGGGAGAUGUUGAGUUGAAGUUUAGCUAAGGUAGUACCUAGGGUCCCUUAAGGUAGUACCUGAAGGCCAUUAAGGUAGUACCUAAAGGCCAUUAAGGUAGUACCUAAGGAACAGUAGCAAAAAACCAUUGGUGGACCACUUGAGGACUCAAGAGAAGCAUAUAAUGGCAUGGUCUAAGGGUCACAAAUGAAGACCCAAGGCUUGGGAGAGGUUGAGUUGAAGUUUAGCUAAGGUAGUACCUAAGGUCCCUUAAGGUAGUACCUGAAGGCCAUUAAGGUAGUACCUUAAGGCCACUAAGGUAGUACCUAAGGAACAGUAGCAAAAAACCAUUGGUGGACCACUUGAGGACUCAAGAGAAGCAUAUAA
This 839-nucleotide long non-coding RNA is filed under the name Vitis vinifera (wine grape). RNAcentral describes it as "long non-coding RNA (VVIN_LNC001280)". The record is from RNAcentral. Lineage: Eukaryota; Viridiplantae; Streptophyta; Magnoliopsida; Vitales; Vitaceae.